RNAcentral lists this unclassified non-coding RNA (313 nucleotides) under plant metagenome. Its description in RNAcentral is "partial contains 5.8S ribosomal RNA, internal transcribed spacer 2, and large subunit ribosomal RNA". The stretch from base 1 to 104 matches the Rfam family "5.8S ribosomal RNA", at positions 50 to 154 of the family's 154-position model. The record is from RNAcentral.
GAAAUGCGAUAAUUAAUGUGAACUGCAGAAUUCAGUGAAUCAUCGAGUCUUUGAACGCACAUUGCGCCCCCUGGUAUUCCGGGGGCAUGCCUGUCCGAGCGUCAUUGCUGCCCUCAAGCACGGCUUGUGUGUUGGGCUUCCGUCCCUGGCAACGGGGACGGGCCCAAAAGGCAGUGGCGGCACCAUGUCUGGUCCUCGAGCGUAUGGGGCUUUGUCACCCGCUCCCGUAGGUCCAGCUGGCAGCUAGCCUCGCAACCAAUCUUUUUAACCAGGUUGACCUCGGAUCAGGUAGGGAUACCCGCUGAACUUAAGC